GACGAACGCUGGCGGCGUGCUUAACACAUGCAAGUCGAGCGGUAAGGCCCUUUCGGGGGUACACGAGCGGCGAACGGGUGAGUAACACGUGGGUGACCUGCCCUCAGCUCUGGGAUAAGCCUGGGAAACCGGGUCUAAUACCGGAUAUGACUCCAUGACGCAUGUUGUGGGGUGGAAAGCCUUGUGCGGCUGAGGAUGGGCCCGCGGCCUAUCAGCUUGUUGGUGGGGNGAUGGCCUACCAAGGCGACGACGGGUAGCCGGCCUGAGAGGGCGACCGGCCACACUGGGACUGAGACACGGCCCAGACUCCUACGGGAGGCAGCAGUGGGGAAUCUUGCGCAAUGGGCGAAAGCCUGACGCAGCGACGCCGCGUGAGGGAUGACGGCCUGGU
This 391-nucleotide ribosomal RNA is filed under the name uncultured bacterium. Its description in RNAcentral is "bacterial SSU rRNA". It matches the Rfam family "Bacterial small subunit ribosomal RNA", at positions 28 to 420 of the family's 1533-position model. The record is from RNAcentral.